RNAcentral lists this ribosomal RNA (420 nucleotides) under uncultured archaeon. RNAcentral's name for it is "partial 16S ribosomal RNA". It matches the Rfam family "Archaeal small subunit ribosomal RNA", at positions 323 to 746 of the family's 1478-position model. The record is from RNAcentral.
CUACGGGGGGCUCCAGUUAGGAAUAAUCUACAAUGCGCGCAAGCGUGAUAGUUUGAGCCAGAGUGCUUCUCAUCCGAGAAGCUUUUGCCAAAUCUAAAAAGUUUGGCGAAUAAGGACUGGGUAAGACUAGUGCCAGCCGCCGCGGUAAUACUAGCGGUCCAAGUCGCAGCCAUUUUUAUUGGGUCUAAAACAUCCGUAGCUUGCUUGAUAAGUUUCUCGUGAAAUCCCAUGUCUCAAACAUGGGGCGUGCAAAAAGUACUGUCAAGCUAGAGACUGGUAGACGUAAGAAGUACGUUCAGAGUGGCGGUAAAAUGUGUUAAUCCUGGACGGACUCACAAAUCGAAGGCAUCUUACGAGAACAGUUCUGACAGUAAGGGAUGAAGGCUAGGGGCGCAAAACGGAUUAGAUACCCCCGUAGUC